RNAcentral lists this long non-coding RNA (677 nucleotides) under Equus caballus (horse). RNAcentral's name for it is "lncRNA (ENSECAG00000048287.1)". Lineage: Eukaryota; Metazoa; Chordata; Mammalia; Perissodactyla; Equidae. The record is from RNAcentral.
CAUUACAAAAAAAAUCUGCAACUUCAUUUUCUUCCCCUAUCUGGAAACCAUAGAAACCAAUGUGAAAUUAUAGCUAAGAAGUUCGUCACUGGGCUAUCUCAAGCUGAUCUCCAUGGAAACAUUUCACAUUUUCCUGCAAUGAAAGAUCUUCCAAUCAGACACAAAACCAUAACUGAUGGGUGUCUGACAAAUAUAACAGCAACAGCAACAACAAAGAAGUAUGUGGAUAUUUUAUUAGAUAGCACAUGCAGGAGAGUUUUAAAACUACUUCACAAAUGAGACAUUUAAAUGCUCCAGUAUGCCUUUGAAUCUGACUUUGAUCCCAACAUAGUAUGGUGAAAAUUUUCCACGUGAAUAAUAAUUCUCAUAAGUAAAUUUUAAAGGAAACAAAAUUCUCCAUUUUAUGUCUCACCGACCCCACAUCACCCAGAAGCCCAGCUAGAUGAAACAACUUGUGCAAAGGCAUUGAGGUAAGAAAGACACUAGGCCAUGUGAAGAAAAUAUGCAACUUUGGGGGGUUUAUGGUCCACCAUCUAAGGAGGUUGGAAGUCAUCACUCUGUCCUGAAAACAAGUAAAGAGCUGAACAAACUGAAAAUCCACAACUCUUCUUAAAACCUUCAGGAGAAGGUUUUGGGGAGACACACAGGCCAACACAGAGAAUCACAAUUGACUGGAG